Molecule: long non-coding RNA, 312 nt
Filed under: Solanum tuberosum (potato)
Lineage: Eukaryota; Viridiplantae; Streptophyta; Magnoliopsida; Solanales; Solanaceae
Description: long non-coding RNA (STUB_LNC003558)
Source: RNAcentral
UUUUUCAUCAAAAUUUAUUGUUCAAGAUGCAUUGAUAUCUAUGAGGUGUGUUUUUGAAUUUUAAUAUUCAAUGUAUACAUAAACAUGCUUUUCUUUUGGAAUUUUGGAAUUUUAGAUUUUCGUUCUUUAUUCUUAAUUCGUCUAUCUAUUUCACAAAAUGAUGAUAUAUGAUAAGAAUUACUGAGCGGGAAAAUCUUAAAUUCUAUUUUGGCCAAACAACGUUUUCAACCAAAUUGAUCAUAGUUUUGGAAUUCGAAAAAAAAAAACUCUGAUUGAUCUGGAAUUUGGUAGAUUCAUAAGAACGACCUAGUA